Molecule: ribosomal RNA, 213 nt
Filed under: uncultured bacterium
Lineage: Bacteria
Description: partial 16S ribosomal RNA
Rfam family: Bacterial small subunit ribosomal RNA
Source: RNAcentral
CAGAUGUGAAAGACCCGGGGCGUCAACCUCGGAAUUGCAUUUGUAAACUAGGCAGACUAGAGUACUGUAGAGGGGGGUAGGAAUUUCAGGUGUAGCGGUGAAAUAGCGUAGAGAUCUGAAGGAAUACCGGUGGCGAAGGCGGCCCCCCUCGGACAGAUACUGACACUCAGAUGCGAAAGCGUGGGGAGCAAACAGGAUUAGAUACCCUGGUAG